Molecule: long non-coding RNA, 172 nt
Organism: Cyprinus carpio (common carp)
Lineage: Eukaryota; Metazoa; Chordata; Actinopteri; Cypriniformes; Cyprinidae
Exons: 3
Source: RefSeq, a predicted model, not a curated record
AGACAGACCAAGAACCCACAACACUGUUCCUAUAGAAGAGGAGAGUCAAGAGAAGAAGACUGAACUGAUGAAGACACAGAAAGACGUGCAGCUGAUGAUCAAGAAUAGAAUCAAGAAGAUUCAAGACAUCAAACACUCAGCAGAAGUCAGAAAAAGAAACACAGAGAAGGAG